Molecule: long non-coding RNA, 402 nt
Filed under: Setaria italica (foxtail millet)
Lineage: Eukaryota; Viridiplantae; Streptophyta; Magnoliopsida; Poales; Poaceae
Description: long non-coding RNA (SITA_LNC005120)
Source: RNAcentral
AAACACUGGGACUGCAGCUGGUGAAGCAAACUUUGCUAUACGAUUACAGUUUCAGCGUAAAUUGGAUCUGGUUGCUGCCACUAUGCAAUACAAAUAUUCAUUUUUUUCUGCAUGUUCGGAUGAUGUAACAAUUCAUGAUACUUUUACCGUUUGUGUGCCUAACAAAGGUCAUCCGGCAGGUUGGUGUGUUGGUGAUAUAGUCCCGUGCCUUUUUCUGCUUGUCCUUGGAUGGGCAUCAUUACUGUAAAAUGAUUUGACGGCUUAACCGUUCGAUCUUUAUUAUACCCUGUGAAAUACACGAUGGAUGCUUGGUGCUCAAUCUGUAUGCGAGUAGAUUUUCUGCUGGACUGUACGGUACUAGUCCCAAACUCCCAUCCGAUCCAGGCUCUCCUCGCCCCUCUG